RNAcentral lists this ribosomal RNA (546 nucleotides) under Terapon theraps (largescaled terapon). RNAcentral describes it as "partial 16S ribosomal RNA". It matches the Rfam family "Bacterial large subunit ribosomal RNA", at positions 1857 to 2604 of the family's 2925-position model. Lineage: Eukaryota; Metazoa; Chordata; Actinopteri; Centrarchiformes; Terapontidae. The record is from RNAcentral.
GCCUGCCCUGUGACUAUAAGUUUAACGGCCGCGGUAUUUUGACCGUGCGAAGGUAGCGUAAUCACUUGUCUUUUAAAUGGAGACCCGUAUGAAUGGCACGACGAGGGCUUAACUGUCUCCUUUCUCAAGUCAAUGAAAUUGAUCUCCCCGUGCAGAAGCGGGGAUAAACCCAUAAGACGAGAAGACCCUAUGGAGCUUUAGACACAAGGCAGAUCAUGUCAAACACCCCUGGACAAAGGACUAAACCCUAUGAACCCUGCCCUAAUGUCUUUGGUUGGGGCGACCGCGAGGAAAAAGAACCCUCGUGCGGACUGGGGGCACACCCCCUAUCACCCAGAGCUCCCGCUCUAAUAAUCAGAAAUUCUGACCAGACAGAUCCGGUGUUAACCGAUCAACGGACCGAGUUACCCUAGGGAUAACAGCGCAAUCCCCUUUCAGAGCCCAUAUCGACGAGGGGGUUUACGACCUCGAUGUUGGAUCAGGACAUCCUAAUGGUGCAGCCGCUAUUAAGGGUUCGUUUGUUCAACGAUUAAAGUCCUACGUGAU